This is a non-coding RNA of Caenorhabditis elegans, 100 nucleotides long. NCBI's taxonomy places the organism in Eukaryota, Metazoa, Nematoda, Chromadorea, Rhabditida, Rhabditidae. The record is from Ensembl.
AUCGAACAAAAGUUUAAGGAUCGUAAUCAAAUAUGAUUUCAAUUGGAAAUUCCAAUUUGAACUAAAUAGGUACUAUUGAAUAAACUCUUUGAAAUGUUGA